GACGAACGCUGGCGGCGUGCCUAAUACAUGCAAGUCGAACGAACCGCGACUAAGUGCUUGCACUAAGUCAAGGUGAGUGGCGAACGGGUGAGUAACACGUGGGUAACCUACCUCAUAGUGGGGGAUAACAGUCGGAAACGACUGCUAAUACCGCAUAGGACAUAGGAUCACAUGAUCCAGUGAGGAAAGGUGGCGCAAGCUAUCGCUAAGAGAUGGACCCGCGGUGCAUUAGCUAGUUGGUAGGGUAAAGGCCUACCAAGGCGAUGAUGCAUAGCCGACCUGAGAGGGUGAUCGGACACAUUGGGACUGAGACGCGGCCCAAACUCCUACGGGAGGCAGCAGUAGGGAAUCUUCCGCAAUGGACGCAAGUCUGACGGAGCAACGCCGCGUGAGUGAAGAAGGUCUUCGGAUCGUAAAGCUCUGUUGUUAGAGAAGAACAGCGCAUAGAGUAACUGCUAUGCGUGUGACGGUAUCUAACCAGAAAGCCACGGCUAACUACGUG
This 502-nucleotide ribosomal RNA is filed under the name uncultured bacterium. Its description in RNAcentral is "partial 16S ribosomal RNA". It matches the Rfam family "Bacterial small subunit ribosomal RNA", at positions 28 to 507 of the family's 1533-position model. The record is from RNAcentral.